ACAAUAUUAAAGUCAAUACAUGACAAACUCCUGUAAAGCAAAAUAAAUUAUUCUAAUUCCAGAAAUUUUUAUACUUUGGCUAUAGAAGCAAUGCCAUAGUGUUACACAAUACUUAUUUCUUCAUGAAUAUCAAACGCAAAUUUCUAUUAAAUAUAUUUUAUCGAAUAUUACUUAGAGCACCUUGCUGUACAAUUUAAAAAGAUUAAAUAAGUGUCUAUGAA
RNAcentral lists this long non-coding RNA (221 nucleotides) under Homo sapiens (human). RNAcentral describes it as "HSALNT0258469". Lineage: Eukaryota; Metazoa; Chordata; Mammalia; Primates; Hominidae. The record is from RNAcentral.